RNAcentral lists this ribosomal RNA (433 nucleotides) under uncultured bacterium. RNAcentral describes it as "partial 16S ribosomal RNA". It matches the Rfam family "Bacterial small subunit ribosomal RNA", at positions 29 to 507 of the family's 1533-position model. The record is from RNAcentral.
AACGAACGCUGGCGGCAUGCCUAACACAUGCAAGUCGAACGAGACCUUCGGGUCUAGUGGCGCACGGGUGCGUAACGCGUGGGAACCUGCCCUUAGGUUCGGAAUAACUCCCCGAAAGGGGUGCUAAUACCGGAUAAUGUCUUCGGACCAAAGAUUUAUCGCCUUUGGAUGGGCCCGCGUUGGAUUAGCUAGUUGGUAGGGUAAAAGCCUACCAAGGCGACGAUCCAUAGCUGGUCUGAGAGGAUGAUCAGCCACACUGGGACUGAGACACGGCCCAGACCCCUAGGGGGGGGCGGGGUGGGGAAUAUGGAAAAAGGGGCAAAGCCUUAACCCAGAAUUGCCGGGGGAGUAUAGAGGCCUUUGGGUUUGAAAAUCUUUUUUCCCGGGGAUAAAAAGGACGUUACGGGAAAAAUAAGCCCCGGCUAACUCCGUC